AACGAACGCUGGCGGCAUGCCUAACACAUGCAAGUCGAACGAGACCUUCGGGUCUAGUGGCGCACGGGUGCGUAACGCGUGGGAACCUGCCCUUAGGUUCGGAAUAACUCCCCGAAAGGGGUGCUAAUACCGGAUAAUGUCUUCGGACCAAAGAUUUAUCGCCUUUGGAUGGGCCCGCGUUGGAUUAGCUAGUUGGUAGGGUAAAAGCCUACCAAGGCGACGAUCCAUAGCUGGUCUGAGAGGAUGAUCAGCCACACUGGGACUGAGACACGGCCCAGACUACUACGGGAGGCAGCAGUGGGGAAUAUUGGAAAAGGGGGGAAAGGCUGAACAAGCAAUGCCGGGUGAGUGAUGAAGGCCUUAGGGUUGUAAAGCUCUUUUACCCGGGAUGAUAAUGACAGUACCGGGAGAAUAAGCACCGGCUAACUACGUG
Molecule: ribosomal RNA, 433 nt
Filed under: uncultured bacterium
Lineage: Bacteria
Description: partial 16S ribosomal RNA
Rfam family: Bacterial small subunit ribosomal RNA
Source: RNAcentral